Molecule: long non-coding RNA, 543 nt
Organism: Haliotis rubra (blacklip abalone)
Lineage: Eukaryota; Metazoa; Mollusca; Gastropoda; Lepetellida; Haliotidae
Exons: 3
Source: RefSeq, a predicted model, not a curated record
UUAUGUUUUAUGUCACAUUUGUACAUAAUGUACCUGAAUAUUCAGUGAAGGUAGAAGUAGGUUAUAGUUUAUGUUUUAUGUCACAUUUGUACAUAAUGUACCUGAAUAUUCAGUGAAGGUAGAUUAGUUUGUAGUUUAUGUUUUUAUGUCACAUUUUGUACAUAAUGUACCUGAAUAUUUAGUAAAGGUAGAGCAGAUUGUAGUUGGUGUGUGUUUCUGUGUCACAUUUGUAUAUAUAAUGUUCCUCAACAUUCAGUGUGAAGGUAAGAGCAGAUUGUAGUUUGUGUUUUUAUGCCACAUUUGUACAUAAUGUACCUGAAUAUUCAGUAAAAGGUAGAGCGGAUUGUAGUUUAUGUUUUUAUGUCACAUUUGUACAUAAUGCCUGAAUAUUCAGUGAAGGUAGAGCAGAUUGUAGUUUGUGUUUUAUGUCACAUUUGUACAUAAGGUACCUGAAUAUUCAGUGAAAGGUAGAGUAAGAUUUUAGUUUAUGUUUUUAUGUCACAUUUGUACAUAAUGUACCUGAAUAUUCAGUGAAGGUAAAGA